AACAGGAUUAGAUACCCUGGUAGUCCACGCUGUAAACGAUGUCGACUUGGAGGUUGUGCCCUUGAGGCGUGGCUUCCGGAGCUAACGCGUUAAGUCGACCGCCUGGGGAGUACGGCCGCAAGGUUAAAACUCAAAUGAAUUGACGGGGGCCCGCACAAGCGGUGGAGCAUGUGGUUUAAUUCGAUGCAACGCGAAGAACCUUACCUACUCUUGACAUCCAGAGAAUUUAGCAGAGAUGCUUUAGUGCCUUCGGGAACUCUGAGACAGGUGCUGCAUGGCUGUCGUCAGCUCGUGUUGUGAAAUGUUGGGUUAAGUCCCGCAACGAGCGCAACCCUUAUCCUUUGUUGCCAGCACGUAAUGGUGGGAACUCAAAGGAGACUGCCGGUGAUAAACCGGAGGAAGGUGGGGAUGACGUCAAGUCAUCAUGGCCCUUACGAGUAGGGCUACACACGUGCUACAAUGGCAUAUACAAAGAGAAGCGAACUCGCGAGAGCAAGCGGACCUCAUAAAGUAUGUCGUAGUCCGGAUUGGAGUCUGCAACUCGACUCCAUGAAGUCGGAAUCGCUAGUAAUCGUAGAUCAGAAUGCUACGGUGAAUACGUUCCCGGGCCUUGUACACACCGCCCGUCACACCAUGGGAGUGGGUUGCAAAAGAAGUAGGUAGCUUAACCUUCGGGAGGGCGCUUACCACUUUGUGAUUCAUGACUGGGGUGAAGUCGUAACAAGGUAACC
RNAcentral lists this ribosomal RNA (731 nucleotides) under uncultured bacterium. RNAcentral describes it as "bacterial SSU rRNA". It matches the Rfam family "Bacterial small subunit ribosomal RNA", at positions 771 to 1501 of the family's 1533-position model. The record is from RNAcentral.